AGAGUUUGAUCCUGGCUCAGAACGAACGCUGGCGGCGUGGAUUAGGCAUGCAAGUCGAACGGGAUGCCAGAUCUUUUAGUUUUCGGACGAGAAGGCUGGCUGAGAGUGGCGAAAGGGUGAGUAACGCGCGAGUAACUUGCCUCCAAGUCGGGAAUAGCACCUGGAAACGGGUGGUAAUACCGGAUGUGGCGCAUCUUCGCAUGAAGAUGUAUCUAAAGGUGGGGAUUCUUCGGAACCUGCCGCUUGGAGAUGGGCUCACGUACUAUCAGCUUGUUGGUGAGGUAACGGCUCACCAAGGCUUAGACGGUUAGGUGGUCUGAGAGGAUGGUCACCCACACUGGGACUGAGACACUGCCCAGACUCCUACGGGAGGCUGCAGUCGAGAAUCAUUCGCAAUGCGCGAAAGCGUGACGAUGCGACGCCGCGUGUAGGAUGACGGCCUUCGGGUUGUAAACUACUGUCAUGAGGGAACAAUGUCCAGGGAGUGAAUAUCUCUUUGGAGUGAUAGUACCUCAAGAGGAAGCCACGGCUAACUCUGUGCCAGCAGCCGCGGUAAUACAGAGGUGGCGAGCGUUGUUCGGAUUUACUGGGCGUAAAGGGUGCGUAGGCGGUAUUGUGUGUCGGAUGUGAAAUCCCACUGUUCAUCGGUGGAAUGGCAUCCGAAACUGCAGUGCUAGAGUACAGGAGAGGAAAGCGGAAUUCUCGGUGUAGCGGUGAAAUGCGUAGAUAUCGAGAAGAACACCAGUUGCGAAGGCGGCUUUCUGGACUGAUACUGACGCUGAGGCACGAAAGUCGGGGGAGCAAACAGGAUUAGAUACCCUGGUAGUCCCGACCGUAAACGGUGUACACUUGGUGUGGGUGGUUUGUCCCCAUCCGUGCCGUAGCUAACGCGUUAAGUGUACCGCCUGGGGAGUACGGCCGCAAGGCUAAAACUCAAAGGAAUUGACGGGGGCCCGCACAAGCGGUGGAGCAUGUGGCUUAAUUCGAUGCAACGCGAAGAACCUUACCCAGGCUUGACAUGCCUGUCGUAUCCUAUCGAAAGACUGGAGUCAGUUCGGCUGGACAGUGCACAGGUGCUGCAUGGCUGUCGUCAGCUCGUGCCGUGAGGUGUUGGGUUAAGUCCCGCAACGAGCGCAACCCCUGUGAAUAGUUGCCAGGUUCUCUUCGGAGAACGGCCCUCUAUUCAGACUGCCCGUGACAAGCGGGAGGAAGGUGGGGAUGACGUCAAGUCAGUAUGGUCCUUAUGCCUGGGGCUGCACACGUGCUACAAUGGCCGGUACAGAAGGAAGCGAAACCGCAAGGUGGAGCCAAUCCCCAACGCCGGCCUCAGUUCGGAUCGGAGUCUGCAACUCGACUCCGUGAAGUUGGAAUCGCUAGUAAAGGCGUAUCAGCUACGACGCCUUGAAUACGUUCCCGGGCCUUGUACACACCGCCCGUCACAUGACGAAAGUUGACUGCACCCGAAGUCGCUGAUCCAACCCGCAAGGGGGGAAGGUGCCGAAGGUGUGGUGGAUGAUUGUCAUGAAGUCGGAACAAGGUA
Molecule: ribosomal RNA, 1540 nt
Filed under: metagenome
Description: bacterial SSU rRNA
Rfam family: Bacterial small subunit ribosomal RNA
Source: RNAcentral